AGGUUUGCCACCUUCCGGAC
RNAcentral lists this microRNA (20 nucleotides) under Monodelphis domestica (gray short-tailed opossum). RNAcentral's name for it is "mdo-miR-7358-3p". The record is from miRBase by way of RNAcentral. Lineage: Eukaryota; Metazoa; Chordata; Mammalia; Didelphimorphia; Didelphidae.